Molecule: ribosomal RNA, 301 nt
Filed under: uncultured fungus
Lineage: Eukaryota; Fungi
Description: eukaryotic LSU rRNA
Rfam family: 5.8S ribosomal RNA (bases 1-52)
Source: RNAcentral
AACGCACCUUGCGCUCCUUGGUAUUCCGAGGAGCAUGCCUGUUUGAGUGUCAUUAAAUUCUCAACCUCUCCAGCUUUUUGGCUGGACGAGGAUUGGAUGUGGGGGUGUGCUGGCUUCGUCAAGAGGUCGGCUCCCCUUAAAUGCAUUGGCAAAUGCGUGUGCAUGAAUCGGCCUUUCGGUGUGGUAAUGAUCACCGUGGCUGGAUUGCUUUAACGUCUAUGCCCAACCUUUUCCAUUGACUUGGAAAAACCCCACUUGACAUUUUGACCUCAAAUCAGGUAGGACUACCCGCUGAACUUAA